This 1877-nucleotide ribosomal RNA is filed under the name human gut metagenome. RNAcentral's name for it is "bacterial LSU rRNA". It matches the Rfam family "Bacterial large subunit ribosomal RNA", at positions 3 to 1976 of the family's 2925-position model. The record is from RNAcentral.
UCAAGCUACAAAGAGCACAAGGGGAAUGCCUUGGCACCGAGAGCCGAAGAAGGACGUGACUAACUGCGAUAAGCUGCGGGGAGCCGUAAGUAGGCUUUGAUCCGCAGAUUUCCGAAUGGAGCAAUCCGGCAAGAGGAAAGUCUUGUCAUCAUAUACUGAAUACAUAGGUAUAUGAGGGGAACCGCCUGAACUGAAACAUCUAAGUAGGGCGAGGAAGAGAAAUCAACUGAGAUUCCGUAAGUAGUGGCGAGCGAACGCGGAAGAGGCCAAACCGAGAGUAGUAAUACUUUCGGGGUUCGGACAGAAAACGGUAUUGUAAAGGUUUAGUGGAAUGGAAUGGGAAGUCCAACCGAAGAAGGUGAGAGUCCUGUACACGAAAAGCCUGAACAGCCAUCUGUAUCCAGAGUACCGCCGGACACGUGAAACCCGGUGGGAAUAUGGGGGGACCAUCCUCCAAGCCUAAAUACUACUCGGUGACCGAUAGUGAAGAAGUACUGUGAAGGAAAGGUGAAAAGUACCCCUGACGGGGAGUGAAAAAGAACCUGAAACCUUGUGUUUACAAGCACCGAAAGCUCAUCAAAGAGCGAUCGGGUACCUUUUGUAGAAUGGUCCGGCGAGUGAAUGUAACCGGCGAGGUUAAGCACUUAAGGUGUGAAGCCGCAGCGAGAGCAAGUCUGAAUAGGGCGUAUGAAGUCGGUUGUAUUCGACCCGAAACCGGGUGACCUACCCAUGGUCAGGUUGAAGUAAAGGUAAAACUUUAUGGAGGACCGAACCGACUCCCGUUGAAAUGGUAGCGGAUGAACUGUGGGUAGCGGAGAAAUUCCAAUCGAACCCGGAGAUAGCUGGUUCUCUCCGAAAUAGCUUUAGGGCUAGCCUUGAAAUAGAUUACCGGAGGUAAAGCACUGAAUUGGCUAGGGGCCGAGAGGUUACUGAACCUUAUCAAACUAAGAAUGCCGGAUAAUCGUUUUUCAGGAGUCAGACAGUGGGAGAUAAGUUUCAUUGUCAAAAGGGAAACAGCCCAGACCCACAGCUAAGGUCCCCAAGUAUAGUUAAGUGGAAAAGGAUGUGGAAUUGCACAGACAACCAGGAUGUUGGCUUAGAAGCAGCCACUCAUUAAAAGAGUGCGUAAUAGCUCACUGGUCGAGUGACUCUGCGCCGAAAAUUUAACGGGGCUAAACUAUACACCGAAGCUUGGGAUACAUCUAAUGUAUGGUAGGAGAGCGUUCUGUAUGGGGAGAAGUCGUAGCGAAAGCGGCGGUGGACUAUACAGAAGUGAGAAUGCCGGAAUAAGUAGCGAGAAUUAAGUGAGAAUCUUAAUGGCCGAAAGUCUAAGGUUUUUGGAGGAAGGUUCGUCCGCUCCAAGUAAGUCGGGAGCUAAGGUCAGGCCGAAAGGCGUAGCCGAUGCACAUACGGUUGAUAUUCCGUAACCAUCUGUAAUUUAAGCAAAGGGACACUUCAAAAGGGUGUGACCCGGGCGUUGGUUGACCCGGGCGUAAGGGACCGAAAUUAGAGUAGGGAAGCACACUUAGCUGAAGGCGAGAAAAGCUUUGCGUAUAGAAGCAGAUGCCCGUACCGCAAACCGACACAGGUGGACAGGAAGAGAAUUCUAAGGCCAGCGGGAGAAGGGUAGUUAAGGAACUCGGCAAAUUGACUCCGUAACUUCGGAAUAAGGAGUGCUCGAAAGAGCCGCAGAGAAUAGGCCCAGGCGACUGUUUAGCAAAAACACAGGUCUCUGCCAAAUCGAAAGAUGAAGUAUAGGGGCUGACACCUGCCCGGUGCCGGAAGGUUAAGAGGAGGAGUGAGAGCUCCGAAUUGAAGCCCCGGUAAACGGCGGCCGUAACUAUAACGGUCCUAAGGUAGCGAAAUUCCUUGUCGGG